Long non-coding RNA from Scylla paramamosain (green mud crab), 868 nucleotides. RefSeq lists it as uncharacterized. The record is from RefSeq and is a predicted model, not a curated record. The transcript has 2 exons. NCBI's taxonomy places the organism in Eukaryota, Metazoa, Arthropoda, Malacostraca, Decapoda, Portunidae.
UCCUUUCUGUCAUUCUGUAAGGUUUCCCUUAACUAGAUCAGUGACAUAUGUAGAGAAUACCUGCAUGGUAUAAACAUUAUUUUAUUAUGGGUUCUGUCACCAAGUUCAUUCAAUACAUCCUUUCUGGAUAAAUAAUUUCUGAGUUGGAUAUGUUGUGGAGUAGCCAUCAUGGCAGUGGGAGCAUCUGUCAUAAGCCACAAAGACAUGGUGGAUGGGUGUCCAGGAAUGGGUUAACAAUUUUACAUUGAUUGCCAUGAGGAAGACAGUUUGUUUCUGAAGAUUUCAGAUUUUGAGCUGCAUUCAGGAAUGAAUUAAGUUCAAGAACCAAGCUUCCACUGUAUAAUGUGUCCUCUGAUCACCCCUGAACACAUGAAGCUGUUGAGUCUAUCUGAUAAAAGAUAACAUGGAGAUAAAAUAAACGGAUCAUAUUUAGAUGCGAUCCUCAGACAAGGGCCUUAAGACACUUGACUGGCCUACCUGACAGCCAUUCCAGGAUGACAACCUCUAUCAAUAACAAAUGAAGGAUUCUUGUGCUGCUUGCUUCCAGGAGAGUUUCACCAUCAACCUGUCUUGCUGCUAGUCCAACAUCAAUUCCAAUGAAGAGGUUUACUGGGGUCUUGAGGAGCAGAAAAGACCACAUUCUCAUCUCAUCUCUUUGCCUCUGGUCUUUUGUCUUUCUCUCUGGAAAUGGGUGUGUAAGACUUAAUGUUGGCUGGCUGGUGCUGGUACAUGAGCUACACUGUGUUCAAAGUCCUCAAGACUCCUCAACUAUGUUAUUGAUUGAUUGAUUUUUUUUUUAAUCUGUUUCUCCAGAGAGUCCUUUAAGUUAACUUAACUUGCAUUUGAAUAAAAAUACAGGACAAGACUA